Molecule: non-coding RNA, 30 nt
Filed under: Mus musculus (house mouse)
Lineage: Eukaryota; Metazoa; Chordata; Mammalia; Rodentia; Muridae
Source: RNAcentral
GUCAGUAGAAAGGUUCCCGUUAGAGGGGUC